Molecule: RNA transcript, 1966 nt
Organism: Hevea brasiliensis (rubber tree)
Lineage: Eukaryota; Viridiplantae; Streptophyta; Magnoliopsida; Malpighiales; Euphorbiaceae
Exons: 10
Source: RefSeq, a predicted model, not a curated record
ACACAUUAAAAUAACAAAAGCAAGAACUUAGAAUAUUCCAAAUAAAAAUCAAAUCAUAUUUUUUAUCAGUUUCGUGCAAAACGUUACAAUAUAGCAAGCUAUCACGCCAUUUUCAUCUGACCUCUAAUUCUUCUUAGCCAUACAGCACGCUAACGUAAUGUAGCCGGUCCUAGAUUUAGAUCUCUGUAGCCAAUUGGAAAAAGUCGGGUUGCAGCUACCUGUGUGAAAAUGGAGAAGAAACGAUCUUGGACCUGUACUUUGAUUGUGCAGGUUUCUCUCUGUAUUGCCUUUUACCUCUCUCUGAACUUGGGUCAGCAUCAGAAUUCCAUUUAUCAUACCAGAGAUGGCACUGCCAAUACCAGACCUCUUGAUGUUUAUUUUCUGAGUGUUGGAGGAGGCUUUAGACCCCUGAACCAACAGAUCCAUCUUCUUAAACUGAUGGAGAAUGUGGCAAAAGCUUACAAAGCAAAAUUUGUGGUGAACAUUAGUGAGCUGGGGGAAGAUGAUCCUCUAACACAGAAUGCAAGCAGACUCUUCUCGUCAAUGAACAUUCCCUGGUAUACUACUAGAGCUUCAAAGGGUUGGAAAGUUGGUUGUUUCAUGGAACAGAUCAACUUAACACAUGGGAAAAUGUUAACCAUUGCUGGUGUGGAUACUGAGUCAUUACAGGAUUCAAUGCUCGAGGGAUCAAUGAAUAGCUUUGGAAACAACCAGUUAAAUUGGCUGACACAAACACUAGAGGCCAAUCCUAAUAGCUGGUUAAUAGUUGUUGGAUACCACCCUAUGGUUGUUUGUGAAGACAAUGAAGAGCAAACUGAAGAAAAAAAAGUUUACGAGCCUCUGCAUCGUAUUUUCAUGACAUAUGGAGUGAAUGCAUACCUAAGCAGACAGGGUUGCAUUAAUCAUGACUUUGAAGAUGAUGUAGAUUACAUAGGCAUUACAAAUCCUAUUAAGAGUGAAUUUUACAUGGAUUCUUUAAAUGGAAGUUCGGUUUUUCAGAAGGAAAUGAAUAAUGGGUUUCUUCUUCAUAGAGUUAGCUCUCUAGAGAUUCUCUUUCAAUUCAACUCUUGCAAAUUCAAGCUGAUAAUGUUUCAUACCUGAGGCACGCCAUGAGCCUUUUAGCAGUGUUUGAAUUAUGCACUGAUUUAAAUUUUAACACCAGAAGAUGCAGAUAUAAAUAAGAGUCACGAAACAGGGCGUGGUAGAUGAAUUACUACGCCGGUAUAAUGACUAAAACACCCUUCCUGAGAGGGACCCAUCUCACAAAUCACACCAACACGAAAGGGCAAAGAUGGAAGAAGGGCAGAGAGGAGCGAUAAAAACACAUAGGAAAACACGCGCAGGGUUUCGACGCUCUCUGGAACAAGAAUGAGGCUCAUCUGUAGCGGACGGGAUGAUUAAGACGUAGUCGUCCCACCGUCGGAGCCAAUGAUUUCAGGGCGUUCUAUUUACCCGCCCAACAUUUAUCUGCUUCUUUCUUUUCUUUUCUUUUCCUUUUCCUCUGUCUCUCUCUCUCUCUCUCUCUCUCUCUCUCUCUCUCUCUAUAUAUAUAUAUAUAUAUAUAUAUAUAUAUAUAUAUAUAUAUACAUGCACACAGACAGACAUACAUACAUCUGAGGCUGUGAUGAUGCGUUCUUUUCCAGGAGUGUCCGAUCGGGCAAAUAGUGAAGGUCGCCGUCUUAUGGCAGGGUGACUCGGAUGGCUAACGAAAAGAUACUUUUCGCUGGCAACCGGUGGUUGCAGCCAUGGCGGUACUGUUAGCCCUUUCCCUUGCCUGAUCAAAUGCAGAUCAGAUCUGAGCCUCCGUCUUUUGUGUUCUCUAUAAUUUUAGGUUUUCGUUUUUGUCGAUCAGUUGCUUUUUUUUUUUGGAAGUGAUCAGUUGCUUUUUUGUUAUGACUUGUUUGGGUGAUAAUGCUUUUCAUUUUUCUUUUAAAUGAAAGAAGAUAUAAAUGUUGUAAAUGUGUCA